GCGGGUAUAACUCAGAGGCAGAGUGUCAGCCUUCCAAGCUGUUCGUCGGGAUUUCGAAAUUCCCUAUCCGCUCCA
This 75-nucleotide transfer RNA is filed under the name Pseudomonas phage vB_PsyM_KIL2. RNAcentral's name for it is "tRNA-Gly". It matches the Rfam family "tRNA". From Rfam's summary of the family: Transfer RNA (tRNA) molecules are approximately 80 nucleotides in length. RNAcentral also lists the same sequence under 2 other names. The record is from RNAcentral. Lineage: Duplodnaviria; Heunggongvirae; Uroviricota; Caudoviricetes; Vandenendeviridae.